Molecule: ribosomal RNA, 254 nt
Filed under: uncultured bacterium
Lineage: Bacteria
Description: partial 16S ribosomal RNA
Rfam family: Bacterial small subunit ribosomal RNA
Source: RNAcentral
UACGUAGGGGGGCAAGCGUUGUCCGGAUUUAUUGGGCGUAAAGAGCGUGUAGGCGGCCAGACAAGUCUGCUGUGAAAACUCGAGGCUCAACCUCGAGCUGUCGGUGGAAACUGUCUGGCUAGAGUCCGGAAGAGGAGAGUGGAAUUCCUGGUGUAGCGGUGAAAUGCGCAGAUAUCAGGAAGAACACCUAUGGCGAAGGCAGCUCUCUGGGACGGUACCGACGCUGAGACGCGAAAGCGUGGGGAGCGAACAGG